This 455-nucleotide ribosomal RNA is filed under the name uncultured Lachnospiraceae bacterium. Its description in RNAcentral is "bacterial SSU rRNA". It matches the Rfam family "Bacterial small subunit ribosomal RNA", at positions 929 to 1382 of the family's 1533-position model. The record is from RNAcentral. Lineage: Bacteria; Bacillati; Bacillota; Clostridia; Lachnospirales; Lachnospiraceae.
GCAGCGGAGCAUGUGGUUUAAUUACGAAGCAACGCGAAGAAACCUUACCAAGACUUGACAUCCCCCUGACAGCUGUUGAAAGGCAGUGUCUCUUCGGAGCAGGGAGACAGGUGGUGCAUGGUUGUCGUCAGCUCGUGUCGUGAGAUGUUGGGUUAAGUCCCGCAACGAGCGCAACCCUUAUCCUUAGUUACCAGCACGUAAAGGUGGGGACUCUAGGGAGACCGCCGGGGACGACUCGGAGGAAGGUGGGGACGACGUCAAAUCAUCAUGCCCCUUAUGUCUUGGGCUACACACGUGCUACAAUGGCCGCAACAGAGGGAAGCGAGAGCGCAAGCUGGAGCAAAACCCUAAAAAGCGGUCCCAGUUCGGAUUGUGGGCUGCAACCCGCCCACAUGAAGUCGGAGUUGCUAGUAAUCGCGAAUCAGCAUGUCGCGGUGAAUGCGUUCCCGGGCCUU